This 456-nucleotide long non-coding RNA is filed under the name Mytilus galloprovincialis (Mediterranean mussel). Lineage: Eukaryota; Metazoa; Mollusca; Bivalvia; Mytilida; Mytilidae. The record is from RNAcentral.
UGAGUAUUAGUUAGUUUUCUCGUUUGAAUUGUUUUACAUUUGUCAUUUUGGGGCCUUUUAUAGCUGACUAUGCGAUAUGGAUUAUACUCAUAGUUGAAGGCCGUAGAGUGACCUAUAGUUGUUAAUUUCUGUGUCAUGUGGUCUCUUGUGGAGAUGUGUCUCAUUGGCAAUCAUACCACAUCUUCUUUUUUAGCUCACCUGGCCCUUGUGAGCUUUCCUUAUCACUUGGCAUUCGUCGUCCAUUGUCAUCCGUUAACUUUUACAAAAAUAUUCUCCUCUGAAACUACUAGGUCAAAUUUAACCAAACUUGGCCACAAUCAUCACUAAGGUAUUUAGUUAAACAAAAUGUGUCCCAUGACCCUACCCGCCAACCAAGAUGGCUGACAAGGCUAAAAAUAGAACAUAGGGGUAAAAUGCCGUUUUUGGCUUAUAUCUCUGAAACCAAGGCAUUAAGAG